RNAcentral lists this long non-coding RNA (6682 nucleotides) under Sorghum bicolor (sorghum). RNAcentral describes it as "long non-coding RNA (SBIC_LNC002632)". The record is from RNAcentral. Lineage: Eukaryota; Viridiplantae; Streptophyta; Magnoliopsida; Poales; Poaceae.
CAGUGCCCAAUCAGGACACGUUUCGCGGACAAUGCUCCACCGACCUAAUACUUCAAGGAAAACCACACGAUCAAUGUCGGUUUGAUCCGACGGCCUAGAUUCACUUGAAGGGACUAUAAAACCAGACCCCCUGGCCCCUGGAGAUCAUACCUCUUCUACAGAAUCAAAGUUAGGGUUUCAAUUCUUCAUCCAAGUAGAGAGGAUCCCUCUAGUUCUUCUAGUUCUACCUCUAGUUCAUCUAGAUCUAGUUCUAGUUCAUCUAGUUCUAGUUCUAGUUCCUCUAGUUCUAGUUCUAGUUAGUUCUAGUUGUAAUCUAGAAAAUAGGGAGAGAGAAGAGGAGAGCGGAGGAGGAGCCAGAUCUGUCGGAUCUUCCUCAACAUUAUACUUUUGCAGCAUCUGGUUCAUUCUUCAUCGUUCUCCAGGUUCUUCAACUCAUAACUCCUGAGUUCUCGAAUUACUUUUAUUUACAUUCAAGUUAUUUAUUGGAUUCCCGCUUGCAUCAAGUGCUCUAGUCAUUGAAACAUUAGAGUAGUAAUUAAUAGAUUAAACGUGGUGUUUAGUCUUGCGAUUACCUGGAAUUGCACCCAAUCCUGCGGAUUGUUGUGGUAGCCUUAGGGUAGUGACAGCCCUAACGGUCGACGUAUUCCACCUCGUUCGGAUCGGUGUUUGUAGGACCGUAGUCGGAGCUUCCUAGCCCCCUUCUCAUCUCUUUCUGUGGUUAGUGUUCUGAUGUCCCGAAAUAGAUAAUCUUGAAGUAAUUCUUGAUUCUUAGAUCAUCUAGAGAACUCUCAGGAAACUUCCUCUCUUCCCACCAAAAAUAAUUAUAUAGUUAUCCUUGGGCGAUCUUGGAUCUUAAUUAGUACACUCACGUUCUCUGUGGAAAAUCGAUACUCUGGAAUACUCCCGGGUGAAAGCUACAUCGGUAUCCGUGCGCUUGCGGAUUUUUCUGUUUGCGUUUAAAAUACCCAACAAGCUUUCUGGCGCCGUUGCCGGGGAACGGUAGCUGUGCUAGUUUUGAACUAAGUCGUCCGUGUAUCCUUUUUCUUUUCCUUUUUUACCACACUCACCUUAUCACUUUCACCAUACCACAUGGAUUUCACUCUAAGCAUUAAUGAGCAUGGAAUUUGUUUCAUAGCCACUUCAUUUGCUCCAUGCUCAUAAGCAACAUCUUCACAAUCCAUUGGUCUCUCCAACAUCACCACAUUCGAGAUCUCCAACCCCCACUUCCUUUCUAUUUAUAAAAACUUUAAAAGGGCGGUUGUCGAUGCAUAUGUCUAUAAUAAAUUUUGCAGAUCUCGUUGAGUUGAUCUUGAUAUAGGUCAGCGUUGGAGGGGAAACCACUUCGCUGACAUAAAUUGAUGGUUUCCCAAGGACAAGCUUAGUGUCCUCAAACAAGCACUGAUCAGAUUGUAACAUGAGCUUUUAAUUAUUUGCAACAUUAACUUGUGUAUUGAGCAUAUAAGGAUAAUUGUAAAAAAAUUCCUUCGGGUAUUCUUGUCACUAACCUUUCCAGGAUUGGAGCAAGAAGAUCGGAUGAAUGACAAGCACAAGGUAUGUCCAACCAAUCAUCAUACAACAUUGAAUUAAAUUCAUCCAAACUUGAAUUUUGCAAAAUUCAAGCUUGGGGGAGUACUUUAUACAAAAACAUCAUUUGCCAUGUUGCUAUGUUGGUUAUCCCUACCCUGAGACAUGCUCAAUUUGUUAAAUAGUAAUCACACUACUUCAUCUCCACUUGAGUAAAUCUCUAUAAAAGCCAUCACGCUACCUUUGUUUAUCCUAGUAAGUGUUAGUUUGGAAGUACUGUACAUACUUCUAUUGGUUUUUAAAUUAAGCAUGGUGCUUAGGUUAAACAGCCUUCCUUAAUCUAAUUAGACAUGGAGUCUAGUUUGGUUAUUGAACUAAAAACCGCUUGUGUAGACAUUGGUAUAUUUUGUUGGACUAACCCCUGCAGGAAAACAUUCAAUAUCGACCUGGGAAGUCCUGAGACAAACUCACAUUGGAGACAAAGAGAGAGACACAUGAAGUUUAACAAUCUACACAAGGAAGGCAUAGCUCACAAGAGAUGAUCCAUGGACGGUGCCACAAACACGAUGCACAACCACUAAGAAAGGAAAGCUUCCACAAGGUAAUACUGUACCAUCACUCUUCAAGUAAGGUAACAUCUUAAGGUACUUGACUAUCACUUCUAUAAGCUUUUUCUUGGUUCUGGCAUUCACAUGAAUAAAAGAGACAAACAUCUAUGAUCUACAACUCUAGAUUAACCAACCCAAUCGAUUCAACAUGUUUAGUCCUUCCACCUUUGUGAUUCCACACUCCUAAUCAUAUAAGCUAAAAUGUUGCACACUCAAUCUUUGGAAGAUAUAAACAAAACAUAUAGAUAGAUUAUCUUUCCAUAAGGUUGAGCAAUCUAAUCUGACAAAUGUUAAAUGCUACACUCAUGAUCUUAUUAUCCAUCAACUUUGUCUUGCUCACUAUGCUUAAGGUUAGAGAGAACAAAUACACUUUUGGUUCUGUUGGUGUUUUCCACCAACAGAGCCCAUGCACUUGAUCUCUGCCUUGUCUCUAUGAGCAGGUACACUUCGAGCAAAAUAUGAAGGACUUUUAUAACUCCCAGACUCCACCAAGUGAAGAACCUAGAUCUACGAGCACAAACACACUAGAGAUACUGGACACUCAGGCAAUCACUGCCCUGAGAUGCUUGAGGAUGUAACUACUGGAGUAACCCUGUUGUGGAAGUAAUUACUGACCUUCUGUCGGUUAAGAGAUACAAUCCAGGACGUCCCGUCAUCCCGAUCUCCAUUGGCAUGGUGGACUUCCCAGAAGCACUCUGCGACUUUGGCUCCAGCGUCAACAUUAUGCCCAGGGUACUCUAAGAAAAAUUCUUUACACAUCCUUUAUCAGAAACAACCAUGGGUUUGCAGCUUGCAGACUGUACACUAAGUUUCCCAAAAGGAAUAUUGAAGAACCUCUGUAUACGAGUUGGUACCUUGUACGCCCCAGCAGACUUCGUGGUGAUAGAGACUGGUACUGAUGAGAGGGCACCCAUCAUCCUAGGGAGGCCAUUCCUGAACACAUCGGGAGCUGUCAUCUACGCUAGUGCUGCCAAGAUUAGUUUCUACAUCAAAGGGAGAAAUGAGACGUUUUCCUUCAAGAACAAGACUACACAAAUCCCAGAGCAAUCUCGACAUGAACCAAGGAAGAGGACCAACAGGAGGAACAAGAACAAGCAAAUGUGUACCGAGUCAGCUAAGAUGGUCACUGCAGCUCAAGGAGAUCAAGAUCGUCAACUCAAGUCACCUUUCUUAAUCAAGAAGGACGACCCUGGUAUUCCAAGCAUCGAGUGCACAAUCAACGGAUAUUCUUUUCAGAAGACACUCUACGACACCGGAUCUAACGUCAACAUAAUGGCCGCAGUCACUUAUCAGCUCUUGCAUGGAACCAUGUCCCUACAACCAACAUACAUUCAGCUCCAGAUGAUUUUAAGGUUAUGGACAUGGGCGAAGACAAGUAUAAUCCACCCAUCAUCCUUGGAAGACCGUUCCUCAGCACUGUUAAAGCAAUCAUUUACAUUGGAACCGGAGAAGUCCACAUGCACUUCCCCUCUGAGAAGGUACGCCGCUAUUGUACUGACCCUAACUAUAUAGUUGAAGACUCUAAGUAGGUCAGGACAAGAAGGAGACGACGCAACCGCAACCAGAGAAGGUAAAAUCAUCAAGGACGGAUGGGUAGACUAUGAAGGAGAAGUUGUAAGGUCUAAAGACAUACAACUUGAACGGAACUGUCCUGAGGAGACCGUAGCACCGAGUCAUGUGUGGAGAGAGAAGAUAGUUAUACACGAAGAGCAGGCACCGCCAGAACCACCGACUACGCUAUCCAGCGAAUUCCAGGAUGAUUGAGAAAACGGAGAGUCCCGUUCGGAGGACGUAAAAACACCGAACGCCUUGCCAAGAGGUAAACUUGGUAGUUAUCUUUUUCCUUUCAAUUAUUUUAGUUAAUCAGGUUCAUAUCAUCUUGAAAAGAAAAUAAAAAUGUUAAGUAAGCCCCAUGUGAGUAUGCUCAUGGCAUAAAACCCAUAAGUACAUUCACUGUGGUGGCAUAAAAAUAAAAUAAAUAUAUUCCUGUCCUAUAAAAAUAAAAUUAUAAAAAUAGAUUUAUGAUCCUACCAAAGAGAGUAACAUUUAUUGAGGAGGCUCAACAUGAUAAAGGCUAGAUAUUUAUACUAACACUUAACCAGUUCCACAAAGCUUUGUUGUCUAUUUGAGCUCCACAGAAUUCAAGGAUCAAAGAAGACUAGCAGACGGAGGACAUCCUAAUCGCUGUCAGAGUGCUACCGACAUUCAAAUACACCUCCGCCACCUACUAGCUACAUCAAAAGGAAUUAUGUCAAAAUCCAGCUUGGGGGAGAGCACCCCCAUUUAUCCAGCUAAGUAUUCUACUCACGUUUAUAUUUUACUCAAAUAAUAAAAAGAUGCAUAUUCAUAAAAACCCAAAUAAAGAUUUUAUGCUUAUAUAUAUCUUUGCUUAGUUUGAUAAAUAAAUAAAUAAAUAGAGUUUGCUAUGAACCCUCAUGAUAAGCUUUCACAUGGAAAUGAUGAAUAGUUGCUCUGCCAUGACUAGUUCUAAAAAUUGAAAUCUCUCUUAAGUUUAGGCAUGACUGUUAUUAAUUAAGAUUUGCUCUAAACCUGAACUUGUGGGGAGAGUACUUGAUCUAAAGUCUAAGUCGUUAACGGAUACGAUAUGGGAAGGUUGAGCUGCUGUUUAUCUGUUCCUAGAGAUGCUAGAAUUCUGGAGAAUUUUAUCUUUGAAAAUCUUUAAAAUGUUGCAUGAUGAGUUUCUGUAUGAUGAGAGUUUAAAUUCCUACCACAGCCAUAUAUACAUGCUUGUUAGACUAUGAACCACACAUUUACUUUUUACUGCUUAUGAGCAUUGAGUGUGGUCAAGCUGUGUAGACCCUUAGGAGCUUGUCAUGUGGUUAAAUCAAGAUUCACUUGCACGUUCACUCACACAUGCUACUUCUACUCCAGAAGUACCAUCCACAUAUAUCUAUCCAUUUCCAUCUCCAGAGCCACCUAAAAAUAUUCUACUCCUAAUCCGGGAGAGAAUAGCCAAAAACAUUUAUGUUUUUCCCCUGUGAAAUAAAUGCUCAAGUUAUCUUGGUUACUACCACUUGCUAUAUUAUUUCAGGAGAUGAGUGCUCUAAUAUAAAAAAAAGAGAGAAAAAAAUAAUAAAUACGAGGAAAUAAAAAGGGGCAAGUGCCCGGAACCUCGAAAGAAAAGAAAAAAAAAAGUGAGACGAGAGGUAAAAAUGGACAAGUGUCCGACAGUAGAAUUAGGGGUAUAAGAUACCCACCUGAGAGAAAAGAAAAAGAAAAUAUAGAGCAUCUCAUUCUCCUCAAAAAGUUUCAAAAGAGCAAGAAAGGUAUGUAUCCCCUCAAAAGAGCAUAAGUAGAAUUAGGCUUUCACCAUUGUUAUCACCAUCAUCACCAUACACCAUUCAUUCGCCACACAUGCACAUCUUGAUUUGACUUAUUGACUUGAUCUUCUGGAUCCAUGGUUUGACUAUGCAAUAAAUGUCUUGUAAGUAUGUAUUAGCUGUCUCCCACCUAUGAGCUCCAGAUAUCAAAAGCCUUAUUAGAGUAGGGUGAGAGAGAAGGCAAUGUCACUAUGCCUCAUACCAAAAAUACUACAUACUUUGAGAGAAGGCAUACCACAAAAGAGAGACUAGAGAGAGUCAUACAAGGAAUCUCUGAGUUUUAUUUAAAAAUCUGCAAAAACUCCAGAGCUAUAGUUAAUCGAAGAACAAGAGACAUGGCGCUUGACUAGACCGUUCUAUCUUUUAACUGCUCAAGACAGAAGUGACGGUUACAAGUCCCAUGGUGGAAGGUAAAAUGAGUAAGUUUAAAUCUUAACAGUUUACCCUAACCCAGAGAUGAGAUCUUGUUUGAACGCAUGUGUAUCUUUAAGGCAUGAAACCACUGCAGAAACUCUUGAGUCCAUCUUUGCUCAGGGACGAGCAAAGGUUAAGCUUGGGGGAGCUUGUUGACGGUCCUUAAUGCUCACAUUUAACCAUCAACUAAUCAUAGAAAAGGAUCCAAAUGCAACCAACACCUAGACUUAGGGUUUUAUCUGACAGAAUUCCACGAGUUUUGGUGUUUGUCUAUUUCUGCAGGGGGUUAUCAGGAAAUAAGGAAGAAAGGCCCACACGUCGGGUUUACAUAGAGAUAUUAACAUGCCGCACAAUUUUCUAUCAUCUAGAAGAUUCCAGAAGCCACGGGACCGAACGGGAAGGCAAUCGGGCUCGGAGGCAGGGCGCCUGCCCAACUCUCCUGGGCGCCCGCCCAGCUACAGUGCCCAAUCAGGACACGUUUCGCGGACAAUGCUCCACCGACCUAAUACUUCAAGGAAAACCACACGAUCAAUGUCGGUUUGAUCCGACGGCCCAGAUUUACUUGAAGGGACUAUAAAACCAGACCCCCUGGCCCCUGGAGAUCAUACCUCUUCUACAGAAUCAAAGUUAGGGUUUCAAUUCUUCAUCCAAGUAGAGAGGAUCCCUCUAGUUCUUCUAGUUCUACCUCUAGUUCAUCUAGAUCUAGUUCUAGUUCAUCUAGUUCUAGUUCUAGUUCCUCUAGUUCUAGUUCUAGUUAGUUCUAGUUGUAAUCUAGAAAAUAGGGAGAGAGAAGAG